GGGGAAAGCAGAGGCAGACAUUAUUAUUUAUUUCCCACAUUGUAAAACCAAAGAAGCCAUCAGAACCUUUCCUUUCUGAGGGUUGAAGGCCUCUGUGGACCCUGGUCCCAUUCCGUAACCUUGUACCCUGAAAGUAGCUUCUGACCAGGUAGAAAAGCCACACACCUCCCACUCCCUGACCCUCAAGCUUCCACCUGUUUCACCUUGAGCGCUUUCGAGGUGAAAUCUGAAACCAACCCCUAGUGGAGAGCACUCAGAGGGAGGGAUAGAAAAGAAAGAGCCGACCACUUGGAUUGGUGUUAGAAAUUCGAGGCUCCACAGGUGACCUGAGAGCACCGUGGACCUCUGUGUCCUCUCCUUGUCAUCCUUCUGGAUUUCACUGCUGUCCCGUGAGGCGGAAUGUCUUUGUGCCACGUGGCUUGCAAGAUCUUAGUUCUCCAACCAGGGUUCAAACUCGUACUCUCAGCAGUGAGAGCGAAGAGUCCUAACCACUGGACAGCCUCGGAAUUCCCUAAAGCUGUUCUUUUCUACUUCCCCUCAAACUCUUAUCUUGAGAUUCCAUUUGGCACAGGGCUGAGUUGUCAGCAUCAAAAUCCCCUCUCAGCUACAAGGGUCUGUGAGCCUAAUUCAGUAACCUU
This is a long non-coding RNA of Bos taurus (domestic cattle), 638 nucleotides long. The record is from Ensembl. NCBI's taxonomy places the organism in Eukaryota, Metazoa, Chordata, Mammalia, Artiodactyla, Bovidae.